ACGGCUCAGUAACACGUAGGUGACCUGCCCUGAAGUGGGGGAUAACGACUCGAAAGAGUCGCUAAUACCGCAUGUGACCACCGAUCCGUUUUCGGUGCUCAAAGUCGUAAGACGCUUUAGGAGGGGCCUGCGGCGGAUUAGCUAGUUGGUGAGGUAAUGGCCCACCAAGGCUUCGAUCCGUAGCUGGUCUGAGAGGAUAGCCAGCCAGACUGGGACUGAGACACGGCCCAGACUCCUACGGGAGGCAGCAGUUAGGAAUUUUGCGCAAUGGGGGAAACCCUGACGCAGCCACGCCGCGUGCGGGAUGAAGGCCUUCGGGUCGUAAACCGCCUUUCUCGAGGAAGACACCCGACGGUACUCGAGGCAUAAGCAACGGCUAACUACGUGCCAGCAGCCGCGGUAAUACGUAGGUUGCGAGCGUUGUCCGGAUUUACUGGGCGUAAAGCGCACGCAGGCGGUUCCGAAAGUCGAAUGUGAAAGCUCCUGGCCCAACUGGGAGAGGCCGUUCGAAACUUCGGGACUUGAAGGCGGGAGAGGCAGAUGGAAUUUCCGGUGUAGCGGUAAAAUGCGUAGAUACCGGAAGGAACACCAGUGGCGAAAGCGAUCUGCUGGCCCGCCCUUGACGCUCAGGUGCGAAAGCUAGGGGAGCGACCGGGAUUAGAUACCCCGUUAGUCCUAGCCGUAAACAAUGGGCACUAGGUGUUGUCGGUAUCGACCCCGGCAGUGCCGAAGCUAACGCAUUAAGUGCCCCGCCUGGGGAGUACGACCGCAAGGUUAAAACUCAAAGGAAUUGGCGGGGGAGCAC
RNAcentral lists this ribosomal RNA (805 nucleotides) under uncultured bacterium. RNAcentral describes it as "bacterial SSU rRNA". It matches the Rfam family "Bacterial small subunit ribosomal RNA", at positions 102 to 924 of the family's 1533-position model. The record is from RNAcentral.